This 472-nucleotide ribosomal RNA is filed under the name Discopersicus iranicus. RNAcentral's name for it is "LSU rRNA". It matches the Rfam family "Eukaryotic large subunit ribosomal RNA", at positions 504 to 813 of the family's 3401-position model. Lineage: Eukaryota; Metazoa; Nematoda; Chromadorea; Rhabditida; Tylenchidae. The record is from RNAcentral.
GUCCGUGUGUUGCCUCCGGCUAAGGACGGUAGUGCAUUUGCAAGUGGAGUGCGCUGAGACUUGUGGCUGCGGCGGUUAGAUCUCGGUGUUGAGGCUAUGCCACUUCGGUGGUGUGGUACCCACACUGGGGGAAGGCUGUCCGUGCUGCAUGUGGAGAGCGCGGUUGAGGCUGGUGGGUGCUGAGUUGGCCAGUGGUGGCGGUCGCAUGCGACACGUGCCAUUGUGUCGAUUCGGUACUUGCUUGUCUUUCGCGUUCGAUCUCGGUGUAAAAGUUGGUCAUCUAUCCGACCCGUCUUGAAACACGGACCAAGGAGUUUAGCGUGUACGCGAGUCAUUGAGUGUCUGAAAACUCAAAGGCGCAAUGAAAGUGAACAGCAAUUGAUAUGCGAUCGAGGACACUUCGGUGUUCACGAGCAGCAUAGCCCCGUCCCGAUCGCUUGCGAUGGGGCGGAGGUAGAGCGUAUUCGCUGAG